GACGAACGCUGGCGGCGUGCUUAACACAUGCAAGUCGAACGGAAAGGCCCUGCUUGCAGGGUACUCGAGUGGCGAACGGGUGAGUAACACGUGGGUGAUCUGCCCUGCACUUCGGGAUAAGCCUGGGUAACUGGGUCUAAUACCGGAUAGGAGCCAUUUUUAGUGUGAUGGUUGGAAAGUUUUUUCGGUGUAGGAUGAGCUCGCGGCCUAUCAGCUUGUUGGUGGGGUAAUGGCCUACCAAGGCGGCGACGGGUAGCCGGCCUGAGAGGGUGGACGGCCACAUUGGGACUGGGAUACGGACCAGACUCCUACGGGAGGCAGCAGUGGGGAAUAUUGCACAAUGGGCGUAAGCCUGAGGCAGCGACGCCGCGUGGGGGAUGACGGCCUUCGGGUUGUAAACUCCUUUCGCUAGGGACGAAGCUUUUUGUGACGGUACCUAGAUAAGAAGCACCGGCUAACUACGUG
This 465-nucleotide ribosomal RNA is filed under the name uncultured bacterium. RNAcentral describes it as "partial 16S ribosomal RNA". It matches the Rfam family "Bacterial small subunit ribosomal RNA", at positions 28 to 507 of the family's 1533-position model. The record is from RNAcentral.